RNAcentral lists this long non-coding RNA (292 nucleotides) under Mytilus galloprovincialis (Mediterranean mussel). The record is from RNAcentral. Lineage: Eukaryota; Metazoa; Mollusca; Bivalvia; Mytilida; Mytilidae.
UGGGGACGAAGUCUGUAUUAAUUUUUUUUUAUUCGAUCAUGUUGAUAAACGGAAAUACCGUAACGUUUCCGAUAUUGGUUCUGUUGUUAGGGAUUUAAUUGUGACGUUAUUUAAGUUAUGACGUCAUAUUCAAUGUAAACAAAGAAACGCUGUUAGCAGGUAACGUUUUUUUCAUAUCAAACAAUUAUUGAAAAUGAUUGGGUGUUGAAUUCCUUCCUAUAUUUGUUGAUAUGUUGAUAAAUAUACAUUUUAUUCAAAGUCUCAUGCCAACAAGACCGGAAGAGGAAGCAAC